Molecule: non-coding RNA, 181 nt
Filed under: Lachnospiraceae bacterium
Lineage: Bacteria; Bacillati; Bacillota; Clostridia; Lachnospirales; Lachnospiraceae
Description: 6S RNA
Rfam family: 6S / SsrS RNA
About the family: E. coli 6S RNA was the first non coding RNA to be sequenced, but its function was unknown until recently. It consists of 184 nucleotides that fold into an extended hairpin structure with a large single-stranded internal bulge.
Source: RNAcentral
AGUAACCUGAAAUGCAGCAAGGUUCCUAUUGUUUUUGAGCCUACAUUACUUUAAACGGGAUUCCUAUAUCGCCGCAUGGAUGUCAAGCCUCCUUUGUCAGUGGAAGGCAGAAAUGCCGGCUGCGGUUGCCCACCUAGCUUUGCUAGGAGUCAAAAAAUAGGAACCGCAUUUUAGGGGUUAC